AGUGAACGCUGGCGGCGUGCCUAAGACAUGCAAGUUGAACGAGAAAGCACCUUCGGGUGUGAUUAAAGUGGCGCACGGGUGAGUAACACCUGGGCAACCUACCCUUCAGAGGGGGACAACUCCGGGAAACCGGAGCUAAUACCGCGUACGCCCUGUUUUUCUGCGGAUUAACAGGGGAAAGCUUUUGCGCUGAAGGAUGGGCCCGGGCCCGAUUAGUUUGUUGGUGGGGUAAUGGCCUACCAAGACUACGAUUGGUAGCUGGUUUGAGAGGAUGAUCAGCCACACUGGUACUGGAACACGGACCAGACUCCUACGGGAGGCAGCAGUUAGGAAUUUUGCGCAAUGGGGGAAACCCUGACGCAGCAACGCCGCGUGAGUGAAGAAGGCCCUAGGGUUGUAAAGCUCUUUCGAAUGGGAAGAAAAAAAUGACGGUACCAUUAGAAGAAGCACCGGCUAACUCCG
RNAcentral lists this ribosomal RNA (462 nucleotides) under uncultured Pseudomonadota bacterium. RNAcentral's name for it is "bacterial SSU rRNA". It matches the Rfam family "Bacterial small subunit ribosomal RNA", at positions 29 to 505 of the family's 1533-position model. The record is from RNAcentral. Lineage: Bacteria; Pseudomonadati; Pseudomonadota.